This 50-nucleotide non-coding RNA is filed under the name Phenylobacterium sp. Its description in RNAcentral is "Guanidine-II sequence". It matches the Rfam family "Guanidine-II riboswitch aptamer (mini-ykkC)". Rfam says of the family: Simpler in structure and has fewer highly conserved nucleotide positions than the ykkC-yxkD leader. Despite this each of its two stem-loop structures directly bind free guanidine. Lineage: Bacteria; Pseudomonadati; Pseudomonadota; Alphaproteobacteria; Caulobacterales; Caulobacteraceae. The record is from RNAcentral.
CGCGGGGGACGACCCCCGCAUCCUCGCCUGCUAAAACGGGGACGACCCCA